This 274-nucleotide ribosomal RNA is filed under the name uncultured bacterium. RNAcentral describes it as "partial 16S ribosomal RNA". It matches the Rfam family "Bacterial small subunit ribosomal RNA", at positions 523 to 796 of the family's 1533-position model. The record is from RNAcentral.
AUACGGAGGGUGCAAGCGUUAAUCGGAAUUACUGGGCGUAAAGCGUACGUAGGCGGUUGGUUAAGUUAGAUGUGAAAGCCCCGGGCUUAACCUGGGAACUGCAUUUAAAACUGGCGAACUAGAGUUGAGUAGAGGGGAGUGGAAUUUCAGGUGUAGCGGUGAAAUGCGUAGCGAUCUGAAGGAACACCAGUGGCGAAGGCGACUCCCUGGACUCGAACUGACGCUGAGGUACGAAAGCGUGGGUAGCAAACGGGAUUAGAAACCCUAGUAGUCC